GACGAACGCUGGCGGCGUGCUUAACACAUGCAAGUCGAACGGAAAGGCCUCUUUCGGGGGGUACUCGAGUGGCGAACGGGUGAGUAACACGUGAGUAACCUGCCCUUGACUUUGGGAUAACUUCAGGAAACUGGGGCUAAUACCGGAUAGGAGCUCCUGCUGCAUGGUGGGGGUUGGAAAGUUUCGGCGGUUGGGGAUGGACCCGCGGCUUAUCAGCUUGUUGGUGGGGUAGUGGCUUACCAAGGCUUUGACGGGUAGCCGGCCUGAGAGGGUGACCGGCCACAUUGGGACUGAGAUACGACCCAGACUCCUACGGGAGGCAGCAGUGGGGAAUAUUGCACAAUGGGUGGAAGCCUGAUGCAGCAACGCCGUGUGCGGGAUGACGGCCUUCGGGUUGUAAACCGCUUUCGCUCAUGACGAAGCUUUGUGUGACGGUAGUGGGUAAAGAAGCACCGGCUAACUACGUG
RNAcentral lists this ribosomal RNA (467 nucleotides) under uncultured bacterium. RNAcentral's name for it is "partial 16S ribosomal RNA". It matches the Rfam family "Bacterial small subunit ribosomal RNA", at positions 28 to 507 of the family's 1533-position model. The record is from RNAcentral.